RNAcentral lists this ribosomal RNA (480 nucleotides) under uncultured bacterium. RNAcentral's name for it is "partial 16S ribosomal RNA". It matches the Rfam family "Bacterial small subunit ribosomal RNA", at positions 29 to 507 of the family's 1533-position model. The record is from RNAcentral.
AUGAACGCUGGCGGCGUGCUUCACCCAUGCAAGUCGCACGAAGCACUUUAUUUGAUUUCCUUCGGGACUGAUUAUUUUGUGACUGAGUGGCGGACGGGUGAGUAACGCGUGGGUAACCUGCCUUGUACAGGGGGAUAACAGUUGGAAACGGCUGCUAAUACCGCAUAAGCGCACAGCAUCGCAUGAUGCAGUGUGAAAAACUCCGGUGGUAUAAGAUGGACCCGCGUUGGAUUAGCUAGUUGGUGAGGUAACGGCCCACCAAGGCGACGAUCCAUAGCCGACCUGAGAGGGUGACCGGCCACAUUGGGACUGAGACACGGCCCAAACUCCUACGGGAGGCAGCAGUGGGGAAUAUUGCACAAUGGGCGAAAGCCUGAUGCAGCGACGCCGCGUGAGCGAAGAAGUAUUUCGGUAUGUAAAGCUCUAUCAGCAGGGAAGAUAAUGACGGUACCUGACUAAGAAGCACCGGCUAAAUACGUG